GACGAACGCUGGCGGCGUGCCUAAUACAUGCAAGUCGAGCGAGCGAAACUAACAGAUUUACUUCGGUAAUGACGUUAGGAAAGCGAGCGGCGGAUGGGUGAGUAACACGUGGGGAACCUGCCCCAUAGUCUGGGAUACCACUUGGAAACAGGUGCUAAUACCGGAUAAGAAAGCAGAUCGCAUGAUCAGCUUUUAAAAGGCGGCGUAAGCUGUCGCUAUGGGAUGGCCCCGCGGUGCAUUAGCUAGUUGGUAAGGUAAAGGCUUACCAAGGCGAUGAUGCAUAGCCGAGUUGAGAGACUGAUCGGCCACAUUGGGACUGAGACACGGCCCAAACUCCUACGGGAGGCAGCAGUAGGGAAUCUUCCACAAAGGACGCAAGUCUGAUGGAGCAACGCCGCGUGAGUGAAGAAGGUUUUCGGAUCGUAAAGCUCUGUUGUUGGUGAAGAAGGAUAGAGGUAGUAACUGGCCUUUAUUUGACGGUAAUCAACCAGAAAGUCACGGCUAACUACGUG
RNAcentral lists this ribosomal RNA (512 nucleotides) under uncultured bacterium. RNAcentral describes it as "partial 16S ribosomal RNA". It matches the Rfam family "Bacterial small subunit ribosomal RNA", at positions 28 to 507 of the family's 1533-position model. The record is from RNAcentral.